CAGUUGCUGCUGACAGUCGGGACAACGAUGCUGAGGAUGUGGGGGACAAGCAUGACGCAGAAGGAGAGCACCAGCAUUGAUAUCGAGUUGGCCCAGCAACAGCACAAGGUCCGGCCUGCAGGAGCCCCAAUACGGAACCAUCCUUUCCCUCCCCUGAUCCCUAGCUCCUCCCUCUCGACCUCUGGCCACAAAGGGUCAGCAUCGUUACACAAGUCUGUUCUGCAAUAAAUCCUCAGCACGUCAAGUUUUAACGCGCUGUUAUGAACAACCAAAAUGUCCGCGUCGAGAUUUCCCCAAGCAAGCCCGAGUAGUUUUGUUUAGCUCUAGUGCCCGAGUGGGAUGAGUGUUACAGAAGCGAGACGUUAUAGCAGUACAUAUGGUAACGCAAACAGUUAACGCUAACAGUUAGUUCUGGCUGUGGACAUCAUGAAGAAUCUCACAAAGAAUUAAAUGUUGAAUAAUUUGUUUCAUUCUUUAUAAGACACAGGGUUCGCACAGGGCUUGAAAAGUGCUUGAAAACGAGUCCUAGGCUUGAAAAGCCCUUGAACAAAGGUUGGCCUUAAAACAGUGCUUGAAAAGUGCUUAGUUCAUGUAAAAAAGCCUUGAAAAUGUUUAUUUCUGCUCAAAAUUACUUUUAUCAUGGCUUUAAUUAUAAACUUAAAUCGUUCUUAUGGGCAAUAUUACGAAAAUGUAUCAUAGAUUCCUUCGCGCAAAAAGUUGAGUACGAAAUAUAAGUUUCGUACAAUAUUGAGUACGAAAUGUUAUGUGUACACGUCACAGAUUAUGUGUGCUACGUCAGAGGUUCUCCAUUGUGAUCAAUUUACGCGAGUGAAAACGCAGCAAUGGGGAAGUGUCGUUUCAAACCAGGGUGGUUAACUGAAUAUUUCUGGGUACAGAUAACAAAUGACAUUCGAAAAGCACAUUGUUGGGUCUGUAUAAAGACCAUUGAUGUCGGGGGUAUGGAGGAAAGCGCUUUGAAAAGCCACAAGAAAGUGAAAACCCUCAAAGAAAACAUGAAAUUGAGAAGCAAACAGGGUUCCUGCGAUGUGUUUUUUGUUAAACAGGAAGGUACUAUUGUUAAAACUGUUAAAUCUAAAACAGACUUAAAAAACAACAGCCCAUCUGUGUUGAACCAGGAAGGCACAGCCACAUGCAGAGAGUGUGCAGUUAGAAGAUUCAAAUUCCAGGACCUUCGCAACUUUGAGCUGUAGUAUCAAACUCGCAGACAUCCAUAGACAAAUUCGUUUAAAAAAAUGAUAUGUUGAACACGAAAGUAUUGUGGGUAUUUAUACCGUUUGCACACAACCAUCCUUUAAUUCCAAUAAAAACAUUACAAAGUUUUUUCAGGUUGUGAAGUCCUUGAAAAGUGCUUGAAUUUAGGUUUGAGAUUUCUGUUUGAACCAUGAGACAGCUAUAUAUUCAGCAAGGAACGAGAGCAAAUCAAGGAACAAUCGAAACGAUUCAUUCAGAAGUGUAUCUGCUGUAGAUAGUUAGGACAGUAGUAGCGUUACGGACUGUCCUCAGCGCACAAUAUAUUCAUGUGGUGCGCCUCAGACGCGAAUUCCGCCAUUAUUAAAAACAAGUUGCUAAAAGUAAACACGUCCGGUUUUGUUACGAGCACUUUGCACUUCGAGCCCAAAGGGCAUUGCAUUGAAUUGAGACUAAAGAAGGCUUGAAAACAUGACACCAGUUUUGUUGUAAGGUCCAGUACGCCCUUCGACUCUCAACCCGAAGUUUAUCAGAACUCAAACUUGGCCCUUAACAAUAUCCGCGAGGCCAGCAUAUCAGCUCAGCUUCUGAGCUUCAGCAAACACUAUAAGCCGCCAAGAUAAAAACAUCGUUGAAGUGAAAGUCGAUGACAAUUCUGACCCCUAUGCUUAAGUAAUUCAGCACAAAAACAUCUUGCCUCAGAGUAGCAAGCCCCCAAACAUCUUCUCCCAUGUUGGCUUCAUCAACACUUCUUACAGUGGAGCCUUGGCAAGUUCGACUUCCAUCCCAGCAUUGAUGUUGCUUAGCAACAAUUCAAUGCUGUGAUACGACAAAUUGUUCCAGACGAGUCGCUUACACAGAUAGAGCAGGUGUUGCGUGACUUGUCCCUUAUUGCGACUGACCUCGAUAACUUCAACUACUGUUGCUCUCGAAUAAUGUGAACCAUAUGCCAGUAUGCGAUUGAUGCCAUUUAACAACAGUUGUUGUUGAGAAUUCCCGGGUUUGAGGUGGCAACUUUGGCGCCGGGACUCGCUCCAUCUCUGUCUACGGCCCGGUCGAAGCAGCAGCAGCAAUAAGAACAACAAGUAGUAUCUGAGCGGUGCUCUGGGAUACAGGGCUUCAUAGCUAGUUCCUAGCAAUCAUAGAUCGGUACCCUGCUGAAAAACAGGAUCUCUGGUCAGCUGGGCCCAGAUGCCCAGCAACACUUCCUGGCCCAGGACCUUGGCGCAAAUGCUCAACAUGUCCUAUCUGCAUGGUGAAGCUAGUCUUAUUCUUGGGCUCCAAACUCUCCUGCUGUGGGGCCAAGAUUACCUCAUCCAUAAGAGGGCUUAUACUCACAAGUUCAGGCCCAGAGAACGGUGUUCCCCAACUACAACACAACUAGUACGUCUCAAUAGAGGACACCCUUCCUGAAAACCUCGCUGGGUGCAACUGCGCAAUACGUGACCCUUUAGUGAAAUGAGAUACCAGGCGGAAUGUCAAACCGGUACUACUCCGGUCUCCAGCAAUCGCCUCAGCCUUGGACGCAGGUUCAUGAUGCACCCAUGGCCUUACUUAUUUCUGAACAUCUCAAUCUCAAAGCAAUUGAUGUGAAUUAAUGAUAAUAAGACUCCACAAACCACGUUUUGGAGAGGGUAUAUUGGAGUCAAUUUUCUUAUCUCACUAUAAUGGGAAAUCAGAAGAUAUGAAACUUAUAUUCUACCGGUCAAGGGUCACCCCACAACGUUCAGUGCCUAGCGAUGAAAUCAUCCACCGUUACAUGUAGUUGCUUCAAUGCAUUGAAUGCAUUCACAGUUUCCACACGCUUUACAACUCUAGAACAUCGUGGGCACAAGAAAACCUGGGUAGCAGAGUAAUUAGUAUGUCCCAGGAGCAUUUGCUGUCAUCUUCUCCAGAUUAUGAGAUCCCCAUGCUCCACAACCCUCAGUCUAUGAACAUCAUGCAGAGCGAACCUUGGACGUCCCUUGACGAAAUCAAACCAGCAAAUCAGAAGGACAGCCUGUUGCUACCGUUGUUAUCAUAUUAACCCCAUACCGAAGAAGCUCAGAGAUAUAAAUGCUGUUUAAUAUGUGCUAGUCUCAACAUACCCCGUGUCUGGUGUGAACAUGUACAAUUGAAGGUCUCUACAAACCCCAUGUCUGGUGUGAACAUGUACAAUUGGAGGUCUCUACAUACCCCAUGUCUGGUGCGAACAUGUACAAUUGAGAGCUCUACAUACCCCAUGUCUGGUGUGAACAUGUACAAUUGAAGGUCUCUUCAUACCCCAUGUCUGGUGUGAACAUGUACAAUUGAAGGUCUCUACAUACCCCAUGUCUGGUGUGAACAUGUACAAUUGAAGGUCUCUUCAUACCCCAUGUCUGGUGUGAACAUGUACAAUUGAAGAUCUCUACAUACCCC
Long non-coding RNA from Dreissena polymorpha, 3606 nucleotides. RefSeq lists it as uncharacterized. Lineage: Eukaryota; Metazoa; Mollusca; Bivalvia; Myida; Dreissenidae. The transcript is spliced from 13 exons. The record is from RefSeq and is a predicted model, not a curated record.